UGUUCUGUUAGGGGGCUUAAAGG
This 23-nucleotide microRNA is filed under the name Eptesicus fuscus (big brown bat). RNAcentral describes it as "efu-miR-9289". Lineage: Eukaryota; Metazoa; Chordata; Mammalia; Chiroptera; Vespertilionidae. The record is from miRBase by way of RNAcentral.